AGUCGUAACAAGGUUUCCGUAGGUGAACACCCCUUUCCAGGUUCGCCCAAACAAGUCUGCGCUUAGCAGGCAACAUCUCUACUGUGCUAGGAUUCACAAAUAUUGUGAUACCAGCAGCCUAGAAAUGGGCUCACAGGUCAAAUAGAGGUGGCCCUCUGGGGUUAAGAUAUGAUCGAGUUCCUGCUUGAGACAGCAGGUAUUUCCACGCUGCGGAAGGAUCAUUACAGAGAACAUGCCCUUCGGGGUAUAUCUCCCACCCUUUGUAUACAAUACCUUUGUUGCUUUGGCAGGCCUGUCUUACGACUACUGGCUUUAGCUGGUCCGUGCCUGCCAGAGGACCCCAACAUUCUUUUUAUUAUGUCGUCUGAGUACUAUAAAAUAGUUAAAACUUUCAACAACGGAUCUCUUGGUUCUGGCAUCGAUGAAGAACGCAGCGAAAUGCGAUAAGUAAUGUGAAUUGCAGAAUUCAGUGAAUCAUCGAAUCUUUUGAACGCACAUUGCACCCUCUGGUAUUCCGGGGGGGUAUGCCUGUUCGAGCGUCAUUGCAACCCUCAAGCAUUGCUUGGUAUUGGAUGCCACCACUGUGGUGCGUCUCAAAAGUAUUGGCGGUGGCAUUCAGCUUCUAGCGUAGUAAAUCUUCUCGCCUUGGAGUUUGAGUGUCUGACUGCCAGAACCCCUAAAUUUAUCAAAGGUUGACCUCGGAUCAGGUAGGGAUACCCGCUGAACUUAAGCAUAUCAAUAAGCGGAGGAAAAGAAACCAACAGGGAUUGCCUCAGUAACGGCGAGUGAAGCGGCAACAGCUCAAAUUUGAAAUCUGGCCUCACGGUCCGAGUUGUAAUUUGUAGAGGAUGCUUUGAGCAUGUCCGGUCUAAGUUCCUUGGAACAGGACGUCAUAGAGGGUGAGAAUCCCGUAUGUGACUGGGUGCCUAAGCUCAUGUGAAGCUCCUUCGACGAGUCGAGUUGUUUGGGAAUGCAGCUCAAAAUGGGUGGUAAAUUUCAUCUAAGCUAAAUACUGGCCAGAGACCGAUAGCGCACAAGUAGAGUGAUCGAAAGAUGAAAAGCACUUUGGAAAGAGAGUUAAACAGUACGUGAAAUUGUUGAAAGGGAAGCGCUUGCAACCAGACUUGCAUGCAGUUGAUCAUCUGAUGUUUUCAUCAGUGCACUCGAUUGUAUUCAGGCCAGCAUUGGUUUUGGUGGUUGGAUAAAGGCCAAGGGAAUGUAGCUUCUUUCGGGGAGUGUUAUAGCCCUUGGUGCAAUGCAUCCUACUGGGACCGAGGACCGCGCUUCGGCUAGGAUGCUGGCGUAAUGGUUGUAAGCGACC
Molecule: ribosomal RNA, 1321 nt
Filed under: uncultured fungus
Lineage: Eukaryota; Fungi
Description: eukaryotic LSU rRNA
Rfam family: Eukaryotic large subunit ribosomal RNA (bases 694-1321)
Source: RNAcentral